Molecule: non-coding RNA, 89 nt
Filed under: Vibrio sp.
Lineage: Bacteria; Pseudomonadati; Pseudomonadota; Gammaproteobacteria; Vibrionales; Vibrionaceae
Also listed under: 1 other name
Description: c-di-GMP sequence
Rfam family: c-di-GMP-I riboswitch aptamer
About the family: GEMM was predicted in a large-scale screen for bacterial structured RNA regulatory elements. Genes associated with GEMM are involved in a diverse array of functions, including chemotaxis regulation, signal transduction, secretion and chitin.
Source: RNAcentral
UCACGCACAGGGCAAACCAUCCGAAAGGGUGGGACGCAAAGCUUCCGGCCUUAACCAUUUUAUAAAUGGAAGGUAGCGGGGUUACCGAU